Molecule: ribosomal RNA, 253 nt
Filed under: uncultured bacterium
Lineage: Bacteria
Description: partial 16S ribosomal RNA
Rfam family: Bacterial small subunit ribosomal RNA
Source: RNAcentral
UACGUAGGGUGCAAGCGUUAAUCGGAAUUACUGGGCGUAAAGCGUGCGCAGGCGGUGAUGUAAGACAGAUGUGAAAUCCCCGGGCUUAACCUGGGAAUUGCGAUGGAGACUGCAAGGCUGGAGUCUGGCAGAGGGGGGUAGAAUUCCACGUGUAGCAGUGAAAUGCGUAGAGAUGUGGAGGAACACCGAUGGCGAAGGCAGCCCCCUGGGUCAAGACUGACGCUCAUGCACGAAAGCGUGGGGAGCAAACAGG